CGAGUACUCGUGGCAAGAACGUGGUUUCGGGUUGAUUUUGAGCCGAUUCGAGAUCCAGGUACUUCGACUCAGUCCUACCACCCUUGAGGCGAGACAAUUUUCCCAGAGACUUCGAGGUAUAUCUGCCGCGUCCGCAGACCGAGGAGUCCCUUUCUAUUCUCUCUUUAAGUAUUAGCCCUUCUGUAUUUUUCUUUUGUUAGACAAUCUGGAGUUAGAUACUUGUAGACAUUCAAAACCUUGUGAUUUCAUGAGAUUCCGGGUUUUAGGAAAUGUUGUUUCAGUUUCGAGAGUUUGUAUUGUAUAUGCCGAGCGACAUCUUAAACGCUUCGUUAUGUUAUUUCUGUAGUUUAUGGUUAGUUUUAUUCUGUUA
Molecule: long non-coding RNA, 370 nt
Organism: Nicotiana tabacum (common tobacco)
Lineage: Eukaryota; Viridiplantae; Streptophyta; Magnoliopsida; Solanales; Solanaceae
Source: RefSeq, a predicted model, not a curated record